RNAcentral lists this ribosomal RNA (484 nucleotides) under uncultured bacterium. Its description in RNAcentral is "partial 16S ribosomal RNA". It matches the Rfam family "Bacterial small subunit ribosomal RNA", at positions 30 to 507 of the family's 1533-position model. The record is from RNAcentral.
AUUGAACGCUGGCGGCAGGCCUAACACAUGCAAGUCGAGCGGAUGAAGGGAGCUUGCUCCUGGAUUCAGCGGCGGACGUGUGAGUAAUGCCUAGGAAUCUGCCUGGUAGUGGGGGAUAACGUCCGGAAACGGGCGCUAAUACCGCAUACGUCCUGAGGGAGAAAGUGGGGGAUCUUCGGACCUCACGCUAUCAGAUGAGCCUAGGUCGGAUUAGCUAGUUGGUGGGGUAAAGGCCUACCAAGGCGACGAUCCGUAACUGGUCUGAGAGGAUGAUCAGUCACACUGGAACUGAGACACGGUCCAGACUCCUACGGGAGGCAGCAGUGGGGAAUAUUGGACAAUGGGCGAAAGCCUGAUCCAGCCAUGCCGCGUGUGUGAAGAAGGUCUUCGGAUUGUAAAGCACUUUAAGUUGGGAGGAAGGGCAGUAAGUUAAUACCUUGCUGUUUUGACGGUACCAACAGAAUAAGCACCGGCUAACUUCGUG